UUCUAUAAAAAACUUUUUAUAGUAGUACCUGCUCUAUGUUAAUUUAUAAAUGGCCGCAGUAUCUUGACUGUGCGAAGGUAGCAUAAUUAAUUGCCUUAUAAUUGAAGGCUUGUUUGAAUGGUUUGACGUGAUAAUAAUGAAUAUUUUAUUUAUUUUUGAAAUUUAUUUAGAGGGUACAGAAUCCUCUAAUUUUAAUUAGACGGAAAGACCCCAGGAUCUUUUAAUUUUGUCUGGGGCAGAUAUUUUUAUUUCAAAACAAUUAUGACCCUUAAAGGUUUAGUGAUUUAAGUUACCCUGGGGAUAACAGUGUAAUAGUUUAUUAGAGUUCUUAUCGAUUAAACUGCUUGCUACCUCGAUGUUGACUUAGGUAAAUAAGCUGGGCGUAGCCGUUUAGCUUUUUGGUCUGUUCGACCAAUUGUACCUCC
RNAcentral lists this ribosomal RNA (425 nucleotides) under Paraproteocephalus parasiluri. RNAcentral describes it as "partial 16S ribosomal RNA". It matches the Rfam family "Bacterial large subunit ribosomal RNA", at positions 1831 to 2599 of the family's 2925-position model. Lineage: Eukaryota; Metazoa; Platyhelminthes; Cestoda; Proteocephalidea; Proteocephalidae. The record is from RNAcentral.